GGGAUUCCUGCGGUCGACGAUUCCUACGGGAGGCAGCAGUGAGGAAUAUUGGACAAUGGGCGCAAGCCUGAUCUAGCCAUGCCGCGUGGACGAUGAAGGCCUUAGGGUUGUAAAGUCCUUUCAGAUGGGAAGAUAAUGACGGUACCAUCAGAAGAAGCCCCGGCUAACUCCGUGCCAGCAGCCGCGGUAAUACGGAGGGGGCUAGCGUUGUUCGGAAUUACUGGGCGUAAAGCGCACGUAGGCGGAUUGGUAAGUUAGAGGUGAAAUCCCAGGGCUCAACCCUGGAACUGCCUUUAAUACUGCUAGUCUUGAGUUCGAGAGAGGUGAGUGGAAUUCCGAGUGUAGAGGUGAAAUUCGUAGAUAUUCGGAGGAACACCAGUGGCGAAGGCGGCUCACUGGCUCGAUACUGACGCUGAGGUGCGAAAGUGUGGGGAGCAAACAGGAUUAGAUACCCUGGUAGUCCACACCGUAAACGAUGAAUGCCAGUCGUCGGCAAGCAUGCUUGUCGGUGACACACCUAACGGAUUAAGCAUUCCGCCUGGGGAGUACGGUCGCAAGAUUAAAACUCAAAGGAAUUGACGG
This 582-nucleotide ribosomal RNA is filed under the name uncultured bacterium. RNAcentral describes it as "bacterial SSU rRNA". It matches the Rfam family "Bacterial small subunit ribosomal RNA", at positions 298 to 916 of the family's 1533-position model. The record is from RNAcentral.